UGGGGAAUUUUGGACAAUGGGGGCAACCCUGAUCCAGCCAUGCCGCGUGUCUGAAGAAGGCCUUCGGGUUGUAAAGGACUUUUGUUAGGGAAGAAAAGGGAAGUGCUAAUACCACUUUUUGCUGACGGUACCUAAAGAAUAAGCACCGGCUAACUACGUGCCAGCAGCCGCGGUAAUACGUAGGGUGCGAGCGUUAAUCGGAAUUACUGGGCGUAAAGCGAGCGCAGACGGUUACUUAAGCAGGAUGUGAAAUCCCCGGGCUCAACCUGGGAACUGCGUUCUGAACUGGGUAGCUAGAGUAUGUCAGAGGGGGGUAGAAUUCCACGUGUAGCAGUGAAAUGCGUAGAGAUGUGGAGGAAUACCGAUGGCGAAGGCAGCCCCCUGGGAUAAUACUGACGUUCAUGCUCGAAAGCGUGGGUAGCAAACAGGAUUAGAUACCCCCGUAGUCC
This 449-nucleotide ribosomal RNA is filed under the name uncultured prokaryote. RNAcentral describes it as "bacterial SSU rRNA". It matches the Rfam family "Bacterial small subunit ribosomal RNA", at positions 355 to 796 of the family's 1533-position model. The record is from RNAcentral.